UUAUUUGCUUCCAUCAAGUUAAUUUCCAUGCGUACUCCAAGAGCAAGCUCCACUAACUAAACAUGUGGCAUUGAGAUAAACCACCGUUAUCCUCAAUUCCUCAUCUAGGCUAUAAUGUUUAUAUUUGUUUCUUCUUUCUCUAUACAUGAACCUUACAGAAAAGAUGCUCAUGAAAGGAAGCCCAACUCAUCCUUUUAGAUUAUAUGGGAAACGGAAUUGUAAUACAUCAUUCCCGUGUCAAUCCAUGUCUCAUGUUUUCAGUCCAUGGUGUCCAGCAUGUAAUGCCUAGUCCAUAGCUCCUCUUUCUCUGUUGACAUCAAAGCAGCAUACAGGUUAUGGACAGAAGCAUACAUGCGAGUAUUUCCUCUCAGUCUUAGUUAGUGUACCAGGAUUAACACUAAAAAUUCUUAAUCGUAUAGUGAGACUUUUAAGUGAAACGGCAUGCUCAGGCCGGUCUCGACGAAGUCAAUGUUACCGGUUUUGUUAAAGACAUAAUUUAUCUGCUGAUGUCCUUGUUGAUCUUGAAUUCCUAUUAGGCAUUGGAAAUUGUCAUGUAUCCAUGGGUAUGAAGAGCGCCAUAAAGAUAAUCAUUAUGUGAUGGCGUCCUUGUUGGCUUGAAUUCCGGUUAGGCAUUGAACACAUGUUGGGCACGUGAAUAAAAUCCAUGGAUUGGUUAUAUCAUGUGAGUUCAUGCUCCUUGGGUCGAAUGUCAACCUCAAUCACUUGAGAAUGACAUUUGUUUUGCAGGGACAAUUGAGAAUGACAUUGGUGCCUUGGCCAAUGUACACGGCCACGACAAUGACCUACACCAUAAUCUUGAUCUUGCAGCCACACAUGUGGAAAUAGGCCACACGAGACAAUCAUGGUAGGUCGACUAUUGCCAUGAACCCGUAGAUUCGAUUUUGUGGUGAUAAUGUCCUACCGAGUGCUGCAACCAAGGUAGUUCCGGCCCAGCAAGCAAGCAACAACAUAUUGAUAAAUAGACAGCUUAUAAAUUACUAAUAUAUUGCAUCGUACGAGCUAGUUACAUCAUAGUAUCUUGGAUUAUAAAUUUGAAAUAUAUAUACAUAUAUAGAUGUAUAUAUUAAUUACUAAUUUUCUGAAGUAGCAUCAUGUACAGGUAACAAUGGUCGACAACAUAUAAGAUUGUGUGAUGCAACCCUACCCAACAAAAUUCUCCUUCGGUGCACAAAAUAGAGACUAAAGGUUCUCCUAAAUCUUUUUUAGUUUUCACACAAAAAGACUGGUACUUGGGCAGUACCAUCCAAAAAAUUCACAAACACAAUCUAUUUAUAUCAAACUUGCUAGUGGUGCAGAAAAAAGUGACUUUGCUGAGGGCCCAUGACUCUUUCCAUUUGUAAGAUUGAGAUCGAAGAAUUUAUCAAGACAAAUCAUUUGUAAGAUAAGUACAUUAGUGUGGAGUUCAGGUUUAUGUCAGCUCAGAAACCUAUUCGUCAAAAAUUAUAUUAUCAUUGGCUAAUAAGUUUAACAAUGUCUGAAAGAUUUCUUACAGUUUGUACACUGUUUGUGGAGUAGUAUCAUCUUAACAUGUGAUAAGUGCAUCAUCAUUCAUACUUAUGUCAAUGUGGUUAUACUUCUAAUUCAGUCUGAAAUAUGCAAGAAACAUAUAUACGUGGGGGGUUUGAUUCGUAUUAAAAAUAGUGGAAAGUGAGAUACAUGAAUUAGUACAUAGGACAAACAGAAAAUAUAAUAACAAAGAAAACAUAGAUUACUUGCUAGUUGCUUGUCGUGGUAGCCUCCCAUUG
Molecule: long non-coding RNA, 1766 nt
Filed under: Triticum aestivum (bread wheat)
Lineage: Eukaryota; Viridiplantae; Streptophyta; Magnoliopsida; Poales; Poaceae
Description: long non-coding RNA (TAES_LNC021012)
Source: RNAcentral